This 301-nucleotide ribosomal RNA is filed under the name uncultured bacterium. Its description in RNAcentral is "partial 16S ribosomal RNA". It matches the Rfam family "Bacterial small subunit ribosomal RNA", at positions 509 to 809 of the family's 1533-position model. The record is from RNAcentral.
CAGUCGCCGCGGUAAUACGUAGGUGGCAAGCGUUGUCCGGAAUUAUUGGGCGUAAAGGGCUCGCAGGCGGUUUCAUAAGUCUGAUGUGAAAGCCCCCGGCUCAACCGGGGAGGGUCAUUGGAAACUGGGAAACUUGGGUGCAGAAGAGGAGAGUGGAAUUCCACGUGUAGCGGUGAAAUGCGUAGAGAUGUGGAGGAACACCAGUGGCGAAGGCGACUCUCUGGUCUGUAACUGACGCUGAGGAGCGAAAGCGUGGGGAGCGAACAGGAUUAGAUACCCGCGUAGUCCCUGUCUCUUAUAA